UACGUAGGGUGCAAGCGUUAUCCGGAAUUAUUGGGCGUAAAGAGCUCGUAGGCGGUUUGUCGCGUCUGCUGUGAAAACUGGAGGCUCAACCUCCAGCCUGCAGUGGGUACGGGCAGACUAGAGUGCGGUAGGGGAGAUUGGAAUUCCUGGUGUAGCGGUGGAAUGCGCAGAUAUCAGGGGGAACACCGAUGGCGAAGGCAGAUCUCUGGGCCGUAACUGACGCUGAGGAGCGAAAGCAUGGGGAGCGAACAGG
RNAcentral lists this ribosomal RNA (253 nucleotides) under uncultured bacterium. Its description in RNAcentral is "partial 16S ribosomal RNA". It matches the Rfam family "Bacterial small subunit ribosomal RNA", at positions 524 to 776 of the family's 1533-position model. The record is from RNAcentral.